This 253-nucleotide ribosomal RNA is filed under the name uncultured bacterium. RNAcentral's name for it is "partial 16S ribosomal RNA". It matches the Rfam family "Bacterial small subunit ribosomal RNA", at positions 524 to 776 of the family's 1533-position model. The record is from RNAcentral.
UACAGAGGUCUCAAGCGUUGUUCGGAUUCAUUGGGCGUAAAGGGUGCGUAGGUGGCGUCGUAAGUCAGGUGUGAAAUCUCGGGGCUUAACUCCGAAACUGCAUUUGAUACUGCGGUGCUUGAGGACUGGAGAGGAGACUGGAAUUUACGGUGUAGCAGUGAAAUGCGUAGAGAUCGUAAGGAAGACCAGUGGCGAAGGCGGGUCUCUGGACAGUUCCUGACGCUGAGGCACGAAGGUCAGGGGAGCAAACGGG